Molecule: ribosomal RNA, 464 nt
Filed under: uncultured bacterium
Lineage: Bacteria
Description: bacterial SSU rRNA
Rfam family: Bacterial small subunit ribosomal RNA
Source: RNAcentral
UCCCAGACUCCUACGGGAGGCAGCAGUGGGGAAUAUUGCACAAUGGGGGAAACCCUGAUGCAGCGACGCCGCGUGAGUGAAGAAGCGUUUCGGCGCGUAAAGCUCUGUCAGCGGGGAAGAAACACGGUUCGCGAGAGCCGCGGACGGUACCCGACCAAGAAGCCCCGGCUAACUACGUGCCAGCAGCCGCGGUAAUACGUAGGUGGCGAGCGUUGUCCGGAAUUACUGGGUGUAAAGGGAGUGUAGGCGGGAAAGCAAGUCAGAAGUGAAAACUAUGGGCUUAACCCAUAGCCUGCUUUUGAAACUGUUUUUCUUGAGUGAAGUGGAGGCAAGCGGAAUUCCUAGUGUAGCGGUGAAAUGCGUAGAUAUUAGGAGGAACACCAGUGGCGAAGGCGGCUUGCUGGGCUUUUACUGACGCUGAGGCCCGAAAGCGUGGGAGCAAACAGGAUUAGAUACCCCGGUAA